UGCCAGCCGCCGCGGUAAUACGGGGGGUGCAAGCGUUGUCCGGAAUCAUUGGGCGUAAAGAGAAUGUAGGCGGAAUUAUAAGUCUGGUGUGAAAUCCCACAGCUCAACUGUGGAACUGCAUCGGAUACUGUUUUUCUUGAGUUAUAGAGGGGGUCGCGGAAUUUCUGGUGUAGAGGUGAAAUUUGUAGAUAUCAGAAAGAACACCGGUGGCGAAGGCGGUGACCUGGCUAUUAACUGACGCUGAGAUUCGGAAGCGUGGGGAGCGAACAGGAUUAGAUA
RNAcentral lists this ribosomal RNA (279 nucleotides) under uncultured bacterium. Its description in RNAcentral is "partial 16S ribosomal RNA". It matches the Rfam family "Bacterial small subunit ribosomal RNA", at positions 506 to 784 of the family's 1533-position model. The record is from RNAcentral.